RNAcentral lists this ribosomal RNA (465 nucleotides) under uncultured Klebsiella sp. Its description in RNAcentral is "bacterial SSU rRNA". It matches the Rfam family "Bacterial small subunit ribosomal RNA", at positions 338 to 795 of the family's 1533-position model. The record is from RNAcentral. Lineage: Bacteria; Pseudomonadati; Pseudomonadota; Gammaproteobacteria; Enterobacterales; Enterobacteriaceae.
CCUACGGGAGGCUGCAGUGGGGAAUAUUGCACAAUGGGCGCAAGCCUGAUGCAGCCAUGCCGCGUGUGUGAAGAAGGCCUUCGGGUUGUAAAGCACUUUCAGCGGGGAGGAAGGCGUUAAGGUUAAUAACCUUGGCGAUUGACGUUACCCGCAGAAGAAGCACCGGCUAACUCCGUGCCAGCAGCCGCGGUAAUACGGAGGGUGCAAGCGUUAAUCGGAAUUACUGGGCGUAAAGCGCACGCAGGCGGUCUGUCAAGUCGGAUGUGGAAUCCCCGGGCUCAACCUGGGAACUGCAUUCGAAACUGGCAGGCUAGAGGCUUGUAGAGGGGGGUAGAAUUCCAGGUGUAGCGGUGAAAUGCGUAGAGAUCGGGAGGAAUACCGGUGGCGAAGGCGGCCCCCUGGACAAAGACUGACGCCCAGGUGCGAAAGCGUGGGGAGCAAACAGGAUUAGAUACCCGAGUAGUC